Molecule: ribosomal RNA, 442 nt
Filed under: uncultured bacterium
Lineage: Bacteria
Description: bacterial SSU rRNA
Rfam family: Bacterial small subunit ribosomal RNA
Source: RNAcentral
GACGAACGCUGGCGGCGUGCCUAACACAUGCAAGUCGAACGGAACUGUUUUGAAAGAUUUCUUCGGAAUGAAUUUGAUUUAGUUUAGUGGCGGACGGGUGAGUAACGCGUGAGUAACCUGCCUUCAAGAGGGGGAUAACAUUCUGAAAAGAAUGCUAAUACCGCAUGACAUAUCGGAAUCACAUGGUUCUGAUAUCAAAGAUUUUAUCGCUUGAAGAUGGACUCGCGUCCGAUUAGUUAGUUGGUGAGGUAACGGCUCACCAAGACCGCGAUCGGUAGCCGGACUGAGAGGUUGAACGGCCACAUUGGGACUGAGACACGGCCCAGACUCCUACGGGAGGCAGCAGUGGGGGAUAUUGCGCAAUGGGGGCAACCCUGACGCAGCGACGCCGCGUGAAGGAUGAAGGUUUUCGGAUUGUAAACUUCUUUUAUUAAGGACGAAA